CAUUGUGAGGUUGAGUAUGAAGUAAUCCUAAGGCAAACUCUCGGUCUGACGAACAGAAAUCACAUAUAAGGCAUAUGCAGAGCGGACGAGCUUGCUGCACAAAGCAAAGUCCAAUACUGUCCGAACUCUGCGGCGUAAACGUGGCAGAAGUAUGAGA
This 157-nucleotide non-coding RNA is filed under the name uncultured Ruminococcus sp. The record is from RNAcentral. Lineage: Bacteria; Bacillati; Bacillota; Clostridia; Eubacteriales; Oscillospiraceae.